RNAcentral lists this unclassified non-coding RNA (304 nucleotides) under plant metagenome. RNAcentral describes it as "partial contains 5.8S ribosomal RNA, internal transcribed spacer 2, and large subunit ribosomal RNA". The stretch from base 1 to 105 matches the Rfam family "5.8S ribosomal RNA", at positions 50 to 154 of the family's 154-position model. The record is from RNAcentral.
GAAAUGCGAUAAGUAAUGUGAAUUGCAGAAUUCCGUGAAUCAUCGAAUCUUUGAACGCACAUUGCGCCCCCUGGCAUUCCGGGGGGCAUGCCUGUCCGAGCGUCAUUUCUGCCCUCGAGCACGGCUUGUGUGUUGGGUGUGGUCCCCCCGGGGACCUGCCCGAAAGGCAGCGGCGACGUCCGUCUGGUCCUCGAGCGUAUGGGGCUCUGUCACUCGCUCGGGAAGGACCUGCGGGGGUUGGUCACCACCAUAUUUCACCACGGUUGACCUCGGAUCAGGUAGGAGUUACCCGCUGAACUUAAGC